GAUGAACGCUGGCGGCGUGCCUAAUACAUGCAAGUCGAGCGAACGGACGAGAAGCUUGCUUCUCUGAUGUUAGCGGCGGACGGGUGAGUAACACGUGGAUAACCUACCUAUAAGACUGGGAUAACUUCGGGAAACCGGAGCUAAUACCGGAUAAUAUUUUGAACCGCAUGGUUCAAAAGUGAAAGACGGUCUUGCUGUCACGUAUAGAUGGAUCCGCGCUGCAUUGGCUAGUUGGUAAGGUAACGGCUUACCAAGGCAACGAUGCAUAGCCGACCUGAGAGGGUGAUCGGCCACACUGGAACUGAGACACGGUCCAGACUCCUACGGGAGGCAGCAGUAGGGAAUCUUCCACAAUGGGCGAAAGCCUGACGGAGCAACGCCGCGUGAGUGAUGAAGGUCUUCGGAUCGUAAAACUCUGUUAUUAGGGAAGAACAUAUGUGUAAGUAACUGUGCACAUCUUGACGGUACCUAAUCAGAAAGCCCCGGCUAACUACGUG
Molecule: ribosomal RNA, 497 nt
Filed under: uncultured bacterium
Lineage: Bacteria
Description: partial 16S ribosomal RNA
Rfam family: Bacterial small subunit ribosomal RNA
Source: RNAcentral